RNAcentral lists this long non-coding RNA (320 nucleotides) under Gossypium raimondii (Peruvian cotton). RNAcentral describes it as "long non-coding RNA (GRAI_LNC010122)". The record is from RNAcentral. Lineage: Eukaryota; Viridiplantae; Streptophyta; Magnoliopsida; Malvales; Malvaceae.
UGAGAUUAGAUACUGUAACGAUUGUAGAAGCCCAAUUUUGCCCGGGCCCAAUCAAAAAACCAAACCAAAUAUAAAAAUAAAAAAUAAAUCUGGCCCAAACUUACAAACCCAAAUGACCCAAAAAAUAAAAAACCCUUAUGGCCCAGUGGCCCACAACCUAAACUGUUUAAAAAAAAUAGAAACCCUAGUGCCCCUUGCGCCGCUCCUCGUGCCACGUCAGCACACUUACGCCUUGAGAUUUGCCAUCGUCAAUGCCUCUGCCACCUUUGACUUAACCACCACCUGCAAAGAAGAAGUAACAUGCAAGAAUAUCAAACACG